Molecule: ribosomal RNA, 492 nt
Filed under: uncultured bacterium
Lineage: Bacteria
Description: partial 16S ribosomal RNA
Rfam family: Bacterial small subunit ribosomal RNA
Source: RNAcentral
AGUGAACGCUGGCGGUAGGCCUAACACAUGCAAGUCGAACGGCAGCACAGUAAGAGCUUGCUCUUGCGGGUGGCGAGUGGCGGACGGGUGAGGAAUACAUCGGAAUCUACUUUUUCGUGGGGGAUAACGUAGGGAAACUUACGCUAAUACCGCAUACGACCUACGGGUGAAAGCAGGGGAUCUUCGGACCUUGCGCGAUUGAAUGGGCCGAUGUCGGAUUAGCUAGUUGGCGGGGUAAAGGCCCACCAAGGCGACGAUCCGUAGCUGGUCUGAGAGGAUGAUCAGCCACACUGGAACUGAGACACGGUCCAGACUCCUACGGGAGGCAGCAGUGGGGAAUAUUGGACAAUGGGCGCAAGCCUGAUCCAGCCAUACUGCGUGGGUGAAGAAGGCCUUCGGGUUGUAAAGCCCUUUUGUUGGGAAAGAAAAGCAGCAGGUUAAUACCCCGCUGUUCUGACGGUACCCAAAGAAUAAGCACCGGCUAACUUCGUG